Molecule: non-coding RNA, 71 nt
Organism: Bemisia tabaci
Lineage: Eukaryota; Metazoa; Arthropoda; Insecta; Hemiptera; Aleyrodidae
Source: the annotation of a RefSeq genome assembly
ACUAUAUUAACAUAUACAAUGUAUUAAGUUUAGAACUUAACCAAGUAGAUUUCUUAACACUACAUUUAGUA